Long non-coding RNA from Lingula anatina, 294 nucleotides. Lineage: Eukaryota; Metazoa; Brachiopoda; Lingulata; Lingulida; Lingulidae. The record is from RefSeq and is a predicted model, not a curated record.
CUGGGGAAUUGCUGCAGGUACUCUCACCAUACAGAUACACAUCAGAGACAGGGGUGGCGGGGCGGACGCUAACAUGGGAUGGAUCUCAUACGGGUAUUUCGCAUUUGAGGAGAUAGGACCAACCGGCACUGGGUCAUGUGAUUCAUAUACUUUGUUCAACGUUAAAGAGUUUACCCUCCACCAGGAGAUUUCAACACGAGAUGAAAAUGCAUACAUGACGGAAACCUACACAAAGCGGGCGUCGGACACUAGUGUAGCAGUGUUCUUUACUGGCACCCUUCGCGAGUAUGGAAA